RNAcentral lists this ribosomal RNA (429 nucleotides) under Chloroflexota bacterium. Its description in RNAcentral is "Chloroflexi bacterium partial 16S ribosomal RNA". It matches the Rfam family "Bacterial small subunit ribosomal RNA", at positions 355 to 776 of the family's 1533-position model. Lineage: Bacteria; Bacillati; Chloroflexota. The record is from RNAcentral.
UGGGGAAUAUUGCACAAUGGGCGCAAGCCUGAUGCAGCCAUGCCGCGUGUAUGAAGAAGGCCUUCGGGUUGUAAAGUACUUUCAGCGGGGAGGAAGGGAGUAAAGUUAAUACCUUUGCUCAUUGACGUUACCCGCAGAAGAAGCACCGGCUAACUCCGUGCCAGCAGCCGCGGUAAUACGGAGGGUGCAAGCGUUAAUCGGAAUUACUGGGCGUAAAGCGCACGCAGGCGGUUUGUUAAGUCAGAUGUGAAAUCCCCGUGCUCAACCUGGGAACUGCAUCUGAUACUGGCAAGCUUGAGUCUCGUAGAGGGGGGUAGAAUUCCAUGUGUAGCGGUGAAAUGCGUAGAGAUGUGGAGGAAUACCGGUGGCGAAGGCGGCCCCCUGGACAAAGACUGACGCUCAGGUGCGAAAGCGUGGGGAGCAAACAGG